This 97-nucleotide signal recognition particle RNA is filed under the name Candidatus Nitrosacidicoccus tergens. RNAcentral's name for it is "Chromatiaceae bacterium RW Bacterial small signal recognition particle RNA". It matches the Rfam family "Bacterial small signal recognition particle RNA". Rfam says of the family: The signal recognition particle (SRP) is a universally conserved ribonucleoprotein involved in the co-translational targeting of proteins to membranes. Archaeal SRP consists of a 7S RNA and homologues of the eukaryotic SRP19 and SRP54 proteins. In most bacteria, the SRP consists of a 4.5S RNA and the Ffh protein (a homologue of the eukaryotic SRP54 protein). The record is from Rfam by way of RNAcentral. Lineage: Bacteria; Pseudomonadati; Pseudomonadota; Gammaproteobacteria; Chromatiales; Chromatiaceae.
CACUGGUUCUCUCGCAAUGAUAUAUUGUAAACCCCGUCAGGCCUGGAAAGGAGCAGCGGCAGCAGUAUUUUCAUGUGCCGAGAUACGGCUAGUUGUA